Molecule: ribosomal RNA, 500 nt
Filed under: uncultured bacterium
Lineage: Bacteria
Description: partial 16S ribosomal RNA
Rfam family: Bacterial small subunit ribosomal RNA
Source: RNAcentral
AUUGAACGCUGGCGGCAUGCUUUACACAUGCAAGUCGAACGGCAGCACGGACUUCGGUCUGGUGGCGAGUGGCGAACGGGUGAGUAAUACAUCGGAACGUACCCAGUAAUGGGGGAUAACUAGUCGAAAGAUUAGCUAAUACCGCAUACGCCCUACGGGGGAAAGAGGGGGAUCGCAAGACCUCUUGUUAUUGGAGCGGCCGAGGGCUGAUUAGCUAGUUGGUGGGGUAAAGACCUACCAAGGCGACGAUCAGUAGCGGGUCUUAGAGGACGAUCCGCCACACUGGAACUGAGACACGGUCCAGACUCCUACGGGAGGCAGCAGCGGGGAAUCUUGGACAAUGGGCGAAAGCCUGAUCCAGCAAUGCCGCGUGCGUGAAGAAGGCCUUCGGGUUGUAAAGCGCUUUUGUCUGGGAGCAAAUCCUUGUGGCUAAUACCCACCGGGGAUGAGAGUACCAGAAGAAUAAGGACCGGCUAACUACAUGCCAGCCGCCGUCGUAA